Molecule: ribosomal RNA, 771 nt
Filed under: uncultured bacterium
Lineage: Bacteria
Description: bacterial SSU rRNA
Rfam family: Bacterial small subunit ribosomal RNA
Source: RNAcentral
AGAGUUUGAUCCUGGCUCAGGACGAACGCUGGCGGCGUGCUUAACACAUGCAAGUCGAACGGAAAGGCCCUUCGGGGUACUCGAGUGGCGAACGGGUGAGUAACACGUGGGUGAUCUGCCCUGCACUUUGGGAUAAGCCUGGGAAACUGGGUCUAAUACCGAGUAUGACCAUGCGCCUCCUGGUGUGUGGUGGAAAGCUUUUGCGGUGUGGGAUGGACCCGCGGCCUAUCAGCUUGUUGGUGGGGUAAUGGCCUACCAAGGCGACGACGGGUAGCCGGCCUGAGAGGGUGACCGGCCACACUGGGACUGAGAUACGGCCCAGACUCCUACGGGAGGCAGCAGUGGGGAAUAUUGCACAAUGGGCGCAAGCCUGAUGCAGCGACGCCGCGUGAGGGAUGACGGCCUUCGGGUUGUAAACCUCUUUCAGCACAGACGAAGCGCAAGUGACGGUAUGUGCAGAAGAAGGACCGGCCAACUACGUGCCAGCAGCCGCGGUAAUACGUAGGGUCCGAGCGUUGUCCGGAAUUACUGGGCGUAAAGAGCUCGUAGGUGGUUUGUCGCGUUGUUCGUGAAAACUCACAGCUUAACUGUGGGCGUGCGGGCGAUACGGGCAGACUUGAGUACUGCAGGGGAGACUGGAAUUCCUGGUGUAGCGGUGGAAUGCGCAGAUAUCAGGAGGAACACCGGUGGCGAAGGCGGGUCUCUGGGCAGUAACUGACGCUGAGGAGCGAAAGCGUGGGGAGCGAACAGGAUUAGAUACCCUGGUAGUCC